RNAcentral lists this ribosomal RNA (713 nucleotides) under unidentified. RNAcentral describes it as "bacterial SSU rRNA". It matches the Rfam family "Bacterial small subunit ribosomal RNA", at positions 771 to 1484 of the family's 1533-position model. The record is from RNAcentral.
AACAGGAUUAGAUACCCUGGUAGUCCAUGCCGUAAACGAUGAGUGCUAAGUGUUGGGAGGUUUCCGCCUCUCAGUGCUGCAGCUAACGCAUUAAGCACUCCGCCUGGGGAGUACGACCGCAAGGUUGAAACUCAAAGGAAUUGACGGGGGCCCGCACAAGCGGUGGAGCAUGUGGUUUAAUUCGAAGCGACGCGAAGAACCUUACCAGGUCUUGACAUCCAUAGCCAGUCUAAGAGAUUAGAUGUUCCCUUCGGGAACUAUGAGACAGGUGGUGCAUGGCUGUCGUCAGCUCGUGUCGUGAGAUGUUGGGUUAAGUCCCGCAACGAGCGCAACCCUUGUCAUUAGUUGCCAGCAUUAAGUUGGGCACUCUAAUGAGACUGCCGGUGACAAACCGGAGGAAGGUGGGGAUGACGUCAAGUCAUCAUGCCCCUUAUGACCUGGGCUACGCACGUGCUACAAUGGACGGUACAACGAGAAGCGACCCUGUGAAGGCAAGCGGAUCUCUGAAAGCCGUUCUCAGUUCGGAUUGCAGGCUGCAACUCGCCUGCAUGAAGCUGGAAUCGCUAGUAAUCGCAAAUCAGCACGUUGCGGUGAAUACGUUCCCGGGCCUUGUACACACCGCCCGUCACACCAUGAGAGUUUGUAACGCCCGAAGCCGGCGGGAUAACCGAAAGGAGUCAGCCGUCUAAGGCGGGACAGAUGAUUAGGGUGAA